RNAcentral lists this ribosomal RNA (422 nucleotides) under uncultured bacterium. RNAcentral's name for it is "partial 16S ribosomal RNA". It matches the Rfam family "Bacterial small subunit ribosomal RNA", at positions 360 to 774 of the family's 1533-position model. The record is from RNAcentral.
AAUAUUGGACAAUGGGUGCAACCCUGAUCCAGCCAUGCCGCGUGUGUGAAGAAGGUCUUCGGAUUGUAUAGCACUUUAAGUCGGGAGGAAGAGCUUUAGGUUAAUACCCUGAAGUUUUGACGUUACCAACAGUAGAAGCCCCGGCUAACUCUGUGCCAGCAGCCGCGGUAAUACCGAGGGUGCAAGCGUUAAUCGGAAUUACUGGGCGUAAAGCGCGCGUAGGUGGUUCAGUAAGAUGGGUGUGAAAUCCCCGGGCUUAACCUGGGAACUGCUUUCAUAACUGCUGAGCUGGAGUACGGUAGAGGGUAGUGGAAUUUCCUGUGUAGCGGUGAAAUGCGUAGAUAUAGGAAGGAACACCAGUGGCGAAGGCGACUACCUGGACUGAUACUGACACUGAGGUGCGAAAGCGUGGGGAGCAAACA